CCUACGGGAGGCAGCAGUGGGGAAUUUUGGGCAAUGGGGGAGACCCUGACCCAGCGACGCCGCGUGAGGGAAGACGGCCUUCGGGUUGUAAACCUCUUUUGUACGGGAAGAUAAUGACGGUACUGUACGAAUAAGUCCCGGCUAACUACGUGC
Molecule: ribosomal RNA, 153 nt
Filed under: uncultured bacterium
Lineage: Bacteria
Description: partial 16S ribosomal RNA
Rfam family: Bacterial small subunit ribosomal RNA
Source: RNAcentral